Molecule: unclassified non-coding RNA, 252 nt
Filed under: Hevea brasiliensis (rubber tree)
Lineage: Eukaryota; Viridiplantae; Streptophyta; Magnoliopsida; Malpighiales; Euphorbiaceae
Source: RNAcentral
GCCUUCCAAAUUUUGAUAGCUCAGUAACUUUAGCUCUCUGCUGACCUGGAUAACCAGUAAAGAUAACAAGGCCAUCCAUAGAUACCCGUGCAAGGUCUAGAAGAGUCUUGUUGAGGUAUUUUGGAGACAAAUAAUCCAAUGCAUCUGACACUAUGACGAGUGAAAAUGAAUUUGGCCUGUAAGGUAGAGGAAAUUUGAUAUCGGCAGCACGCACAAUGCCCUUGUGCACAAGGCUCUUGCAGCUUAUAUCAG